This 75-nucleotide microRNA precursor is filed under the name Heliconius melpomene (postman butterfly). Its description in RNAcentral is "microRNA hme-mir-6304 precursor". The record is from miRBase by way of RNAcentral. Lineage: Eukaryota; Metazoa; Arthropoda; Insecta; Lepidoptera; Nymphalidae.
UAUUCACAUUAUUCCAGUGUCGAUCAAGUACUAGACUAAAAUUAGUACUAGAACGGGGCUGGGUCGAUGUGGGUG